This 1383-nucleotide ribosomal RNA is filed under the name Triticum aestivum (bread wheat). RNAcentral's name for it is "partial small subunit ribosomal RNA". Lineage: Eukaryota; Viridiplantae; Streptophyta; Magnoliopsida; Poales; Poaceae. The record is from RNAcentral.
AUGGUGAAGGCGCCUCUCCACUCCUCGUCCUCGGCCGCCGCCGCCGCGGCCACCUUCUCGCUGGUCGCCAAGAAGGCGCGGCUCUCGCCCUUCAUCCUGCUGUCGCUGCUCUUCAUGCUCCUCUUCUCCUUCCUCUACGGGGAAGAGCUCGCGGCGCUCAUCGGCCGGCGAGCUAGUCGAAACUGGGCACACCUCGACGUCAGCGUCAACCGCGAGCAUCAGCAGCCGCCCGGUGGAUCGGGGGUGGAGGAUGGGUGGCAGAGGAAGAAGAAGAGGUGGCAGGGGAAGCUGGCGUUCGCGGUGAAUGACGAGGACGAGGACGAGGAGUGCGACGUGUUCUCGGGGAGCUGGGUGCGGGACGAGGAGGCGCACCCGCUGUACCGGGAGGAGGAGUGCCCCUACAUCCAGCCGCAGCUCACCUGCCAGGCGCAGGGCCGCCCCGACAGGGGCUACCAGUCCUGGCGAUGGCAGCCGCACGACUGCACCCUCCCCGCGUUCAACCCGACGCAGAUGCUGGAGACGCUGCGGGGCAAGCGGAUGAUGUUCGUGGGCGACUCGCUGAACCGCGGGCAGUUCACGUCCAUGGUGUGCCUCCUCCAGUCCGCCAUCCCGUCGCCGGAGGCCAAGUCCUUCGAGAUGUCCCCCGACCAGCAGCACACCGUGUUCACCGCCAGGGAGUACAACGCGACGGUGGAGUUCUACUGGGCGCCCUUCCUGCUGCAGUCCAACGCGGACGACGCCGUGGUGCACAAGAUCUCCGACCGCAUGGUGCGCAACGGCUCCAUCGCCCACCACGGCCGCCACUGGGAGGGCGCCGACGUCCUGGUCUUCAACACCUACCUCUGGUGGUGCACCGGCCUGCGCUUCAGGGUCGUGAACGGGCCGAUCGCGGGGGCCAGGGAGGAGGACGCGGCGUGGGUGUCGACCGAGGAGGCCUACGGCAUGGCGUUCCGCGACAUGCUGCAGUGGGUGAGGGACAACAUGGACUUCAACACCACCAGGGUCUUCUUCACCAGCAUGUCGCCCACCCACGGCAAGAGCCAGGACUGGGGGGGCGCGGCGGGGGGCAACUGCUACAACGAGACGGCGAUGAUCGAGGACGCCGGGUACUGGGGCACGGACGGGCGGCGGAGCGUGAUGCGGGUGAUCGGGGAGAUCCUCGACGGCGACGGUGCCGACGUGCCGCUCACCUUCCUCAACGUCACGCAGCUUUCCAUGUACCGCAAGGACGCGCACACCUCCAUCUACAAGAAGCAGUGGAACCCGCUGACGCCGGAGCAGGUCGCCGACCCCAGGACCUACGCCGACUGCGUCCACUGGUGCCUCCCGGGGCUCCAGGACACGUGGAACGAACUCCUCUACUCCAAGCUCUUCUACCCUUGA